This 606-nucleotide long non-coding RNA is filed under the name Rattus norvegicus (Norway rat). Its description in RNAcentral is "long non-coding RNA NONRATT022787". Lineage: Eukaryota; Metazoa; Chordata; Mammalia; Rodentia; Muridae. The record is from RNAcentral.
GAACAAGAAGCCAUACCACCAUCCCAUCCAAGAGAGCUGACAGCAUGAAGGUCCUCCUGUUGCUAGCAGUUGUGAUCAUGGCCUUUGGUGCUGUGUGACUCAUGACUGUUGUUACAACCGUCUGGAGAAACGUGGAUGUGGCACAAAGUUUCUGACCUACAAGUUCUCCUACCGAGGGGGCCAAAUCUCCUGCUCUACAAACCAGGACUCCUGCCGGAAACAGCUGUGCCAGUGCGAUAAAGCUGCCGCUGAAUGUUUUGCCCGGAACAAGAAAAGCUACAGUUUAAAGUACCAGUUCUACCCCAACAAGUUUUGCAAAGGGAAGACGCCCAGUUGCUGAAAGAGACAUCUUCUGAAACAUCCAGACAUCCUCUAACACCUCUCCUAGCCCAACCAAGUUCCCCAGUGAUCAAGAAAACACCCCUCUCCAACCCUAGAAGCAGGCGGGCCCUUCUGUCUUCACCCAGAAGGAGCCGCUGAAGCCUGAUCUUUCCCCAACACUCCACAGCCUUGGAUCCGCCCACUUUUCCCUUGGCAUCCAACUUCCUGCUGCGUAGUACCUAAGAGGGUCCUGAGAGGCUCUCGCAAGUAAAGCAAUUCAUCAAC